AUUGAACGCUGGCGGCAGGCUUAACACAUGCAAGUCGAGCGGGGUGAUGGUGCUUGCACUAUCACUUAGCGGCGGACGGGUGAGUAAUGCUUAGGAAUCUGCCUAUUAGUGGGGGACAACAUAUCGAAAGGGAUGUUAAUACCGCAUACGUCCUACGGGAGAAAGCAGGGGAUCACUUGUGAACUUGCGUUAAUAGACGAGUCUAAGUCGGAUUAGGUAGUCGGUGGGGUAAAGGCCUACCAAGGCGACGAUCUGUAGCGGGUCUGAGAGGAUGAUCCGCCACACUGGGACUGAGACACGGCCCAGACUCCUACGGGAGGCAGCAGUGGGGAAUAUUGGACAAGGGGGGGAACCCUGAUCCAGCCAUGCCGCGUGUGUGAAGAAGGCCUUAUGGUUGUAAAGCACUUUAAGCGAGGAGGAGGCUCUUUUGGUUAAUACCCAAGAUGAGUGGACGUUACUCGCAGAAUAAGCACCGGCUAACUCUGUGCCAGCAGCCGCCGUAA
RNAcentral lists this ribosomal RNA (503 nucleotides) under uncultured bacterium. RNAcentral describes it as "partial 16S ribosomal RNA". It matches the Rfam family "Bacterial small subunit ribosomal RNA", at positions 30 to 523 of the family's 1533-position model. The record is from RNAcentral.